AUACAACUUUCAACAAUGGAUCUCUUGGCUCUCGCAUCGAUGAAGAACGCAGCGAAAUGCGAUAAGUAAUGUGAAUUGCAGAAUUCAGUGAAUCAUCGAAUGUUUGAACGCAUCUUGCGCUCCUUGGUCCUCUGAGGAGCAUGCCUGUUUGAGUGUCA
Molecule: ribosomal RNA, 158 nt
Filed under: Amanita heishidingensis
Lineage: Eukaryota; Fungi; Basidiomycota; Agaricomycetes; Agaricales; Amanitaceae
Description: 5.8S ribosomal RNA
Rfam family: 5.8S ribosomal RNA
About the family: 5.8S ribosomal RNA (5.8S rRNA) is a component of the large subunit of the eukaryotic ribosome. It is transcribed by RNA polymerase I as part of the 45S precursor that also contains 18S and 28S rRNA.
Source: RNAcentral